UCCCUGGUGGUCCAGUGGUUAGGACUUAGUGCUUUCUCUGUUAUGGGCCCAGGUUCAAUCCCUGGUCAGGGAA
This is a non-coding RNA of Dama dama (fallow deer), 73 nucleotides long. The record is from the annotation of a RefSeq genome assembly. Lineage: Eukaryota; Metazoa; Chordata; Mammalia; Artiodactyla; Cervidae.